GGCCGUUUCGUUCCGUUCGGCGGCUAAUUUUUGGGGGAGGAGGCGCGAAACCGCCCCCAAAAAACCGCUUUCGCGGGACGGCUCCGGCAUGGAUGGCCGGAGCAAGU
RNAcentral lists this non-coding RNA (107 nucleotides) under unclassified sequences. RNAcentral's name for it is "Termite-flg RNA". It matches the Rfam family "Termite-flg RNA". The record is from RNAcentral.